UUUUCAAAGGAUAGCAGCAAUCCAAUGGNUUUAGGAACCAUCACUUCU
Molecule: transfer RNA, 48 nt
Filed under: Amyda cartilaginea (black-rayed soft-shelled turtle)
Lineage: Eukaryota; Metazoa; Chordata; Testudines; Trionychidae
Description: partial transfer RNA-Leu
Source: RNAcentral